GUCAGCGACCAUAGUUAUGGGGGCAACACCCGUUCUCAUUCCGAACACGGAAGUUAAGACCUAUAGCGUUAUAGGCUGUACUGCAUAAUAUGUGGGAAACCUAUAAGUUGCUGAUA
RNAcentral lists this ribosomal RNA (116 nucleotides) under archaeon. The record is from RNAcentral.